RNA transcript from Zea mays, 985 nucleotides. It is a transcript of the gene named protein kinase superfamily protein pseudogene, with no coding region annotated. The record is from RefSeq and is marked validated. The transcript is spliced from 4 exons. Lineage: Eukaryota; Viridiplantae; Streptophyta; Magnoliopsida; Poales; Poaceae.
CCCAGGUUAUCGAAGGCUUGUGAACAUGUCGUGAACUUUACAUCCAUCGCAUUGGUUGUUCUGACCGUUUUGGAAGCAAGCUGAAGAAGAUGCACCAAGAAAAGCAGCUGGACACACUUGUCGACAAGGGCCUGGAGAGCAAAUAUGACCGCAUUGAGCUAGAGGAGAUGGUGCAAGUGGCGCUUCUAUGUACUCAGUCCUUCCCUGGUCACAGGACCAAGAUGUCAGAAGUGGUCAGGAUGCUGGAGGGCGAUGGGCUUGCAAAGCAGUGGGAGGCAUCACAACACACAAAAGAGUCACACAAAUUCAAGGCCUAUUAGGCGCCCGAAAGGGCGCCGCCUGUUCUAGUAACUUUCAAUAUGAAUGCUGGGGAGGGAGACGACUGACGAGGAGCAGUGGCUACGGGCUGCUCUGCGUCAUAUGCAAUGCAGGCGGGGGUGCCGGAACACCUGGUGUACAAGCACUGGAACCAGCAUCGCGAUGCCGCUUGCUUCCAAUACAUCAUCAAGGUGAGGCCCGGUCGCUUGUCUAAACCUCCUCCUGAUGAAACUCCCAUCCUGCCGAGCGAGUGGAGUUUCUAUGCGCAUAGGUGAGGAGGGACCUGAAGCUUCUGCUCGGUGCCGGCCUUGCGGAGGACCUCAACGUUGUGUUCCCAAUUCACAAUUUUCACUUGCUUUGGGGAUAUUUACCAAAAAAAUCUCCAAUUUAACCCAAUGUUUAAUUGGUUGUUACAUUACACGCUGGAGAGUUUGCUGCUGGCAGAAGCCUGCAUUGUUGCUUAACUGGGCUCCUGGUGACGAGGUGGUCUACUACUUCGUACUACCUGCAAGCAAUAGCGUGGAUGAUUUUUAGUCUUUCAAUGCUAAACUUCAUGACCAUUAGUUCUCCUGUCCACAAGCUGACGCCAAGGAACUGAAGGACCAAAGGAUACAGGGUUAUCCACUAAUCUUAAAUCAUUAUUUUCUCAACGUUGUACCAGUAUACU